GGGGAUAGCUCAGUGGCAGAGAACGUGCUUAGCAUGCACAAAGUCCUGGGUUCAAUCCCCAGGACCUCCA
RNAcentral lists this transfer RNA (70 nucleotides) under Camelus ferus (Wild Bactrian camel). It matches the Rfam family "tRNA". Rfam says of the family: Transfer RNA (tRNA) molecules are approximately 80 nucleotides in length. Lineage: Eukaryota; Metazoa; Chordata; Mammalia; Artiodactyla; Camelidae. The record is from Rfam by way of RNAcentral.